CGGUACGUACUGGCAUUGUUGGUUUCUCCCUUCUGACGAACCAUGAUGUCAUUUAUUUGGUGUUGUGGGGAAUCAGGACUGUUACUUUGAAAAAAUUAGAGUGUUUAAAGCAGGCUCACGCUUGAAUACAUUAGCAUGGAAUAAUGAAAUAGGACGUUUGAUUCUAUUUUGUUGGUUUCUAGGAUCGACGUAAUGAUUAAUAGGGAUAGUUGGGGGCAUUAGUAUUCAAUUGUCAGAGGUGAAAUUCUUGGAUUUAUUGAAGACUAACUACUGCGAAAGCAUUUGCCAAGGAUGUUUUCAUUAGUCAAGAACGAAAGUUAGGGGAUCGAAGACGAUCAGAUACCGUCGUAGUCUUAACCAUAAACUAUGCCGACUAGGGAUCGGAUGAUGUUAAUUUUUUAAUGACUCAUUCGGCGCCUUACG
This 423-nucleotide ribosomal RNA is filed under the name uncultured Glomeromycotina. Its description in RNAcentral is "SSU rRNA". It matches the Rfam family "Eukaryotic small subunit ribosomal RNA", at positions 671 to 1092 of the family's 1831-position model. Lineage: Eukaryota; Fungi; Glomeromycota. The record is from RNAcentral.